This 449-nucleotide ribosomal RNA is filed under the name uncultured bacterium. RNAcentral describes it as "partial 16S ribosomal RNA". It matches the Rfam family "Bacterial small subunit ribosomal RNA", at positions 29 to 523 of the family's 1533-position model. The record is from RNAcentral.
AGCGAACGCUGGCUGCAGGCCUAACACAUGCAAGUCGAACGGACCCUUCGGGGUUAGUGGCGGACGGGUGAGUAACACGUGGGAACGUGCCUUUAGGUUCGGAAUAGCUCCUGGAAACGGGUGGUAAUGCCGAAUGUGCCCUUCGGGGGAAAGAUUUAUCGCCUUUAGAGCGGCCCGCGUCUGAUUGGCUAGUUGGUGAGGUAAAGGCUCACCAAGGCUACGAUCAGGAGCUGGUCUGAGAGGAUGGCCAGCCUCAUUGGGUCUGAGACACGGCCCAAAGUACUACGGGAGGCAGCAGUGGGGAAUCUUGCGCAAUGGGCGAAAGCCUGACGCAGCCACGCCGCGUGUAUGAUGAAGGUCUUAGGAUUGUAAAAUACUUUCACCGGUGAAGAUAAUGACUGUAGCCGGAGAAGAAGCCCCGGCUAACUUCGUGCCAGCAGCCGCAGUAA